GAUGAAGAACGUAGCGAAAUGCGAUAACUAGUGUGAAUUGCAGAUUUCAGUGAAUCAUCGAGUCUUUGAACGCACAUUGCGCCCCCUGGUAUUCCGGGGGGCAUGCCUGUCCGAGCGUCAUUGCUGCCCUCAAGCACGGCUUGUGUGUUGGGCCUCCGCCCCCCGGCUCCCGGGGGGCGGGCCCGAAAGGCAGCGGCGGCACCGCGUCCGGUCCUCGAGCGUAUGGGGCUUCGUCACCCGCUCCGUAGGCCCGGCCGGCGCCCGCCGGCGACCCCCCUCAAUCUUUCCAGGUUGACCUCGGAUCAGGUAGGGAUACCCGCUGAACUUAAGCAUAUCAAUAAGCGGAGGA
RNAcentral lists this unclassified non-coding RNA (349 nucleotides) under soil metagenome. RNAcentral's name for it is "partial contains 5.8S ribosomal RNA, internal transcribed spacer 2, and large subunit ribosomal RNA". The stretch from base 1 to 120 matches the Rfam family "5.8S ribosomal RNA", at positions 35 to 154 of the family's 154-position model. The record is from RNAcentral.